CAGACGAUCAGGCAGUCAGGAGAGGGAGGGACAGAGCAAGUCAGCUUUGGUGGCCCCCACCCCAGACCUGUACCACCUUGGGAAGCAGCAGCCCAGAGGCUUAAGAAGAUGCUGACUUAAACGUUCAGGGCACCCCUGUCUGGCCAACAUGGCUGAAACACACCCUCCGUAUUCUUCCUUCAAGAAGCUAUCAUCUUUCUUCAAUGGCAUCACCGCUGUGUCUGGUGUGGUCCUCAUUGGCCUGGGCUUCUAUGUCAAGUUCAGAGGGGCUGCCCUAACGAGGGUCCUCGGGCUGUCCCAUGCACACCUGCAUCACGUUGGCUACCUGUGUCUGGUGUUGGGCUGCGUCACGGUCCUGCUCAGCUUCACUGGGUGGUACGGGGUUACCAAAGAGAACAGAGGCACGCUCCUGUUUUGUUCGUUGUUCAUGAUUUUCAUUCUCAUCAUGGAAAUCGGGGUCACCUCGGUGGUCCUUGGGUUCUUACCCACUGUUCAAGACAUGGGCUUGGAGCACAACGUUGUGACCCUGAGGACGAACUAUAAAGGUUUCAACGAGCCCGAUGAUUAUUCCACGGACUGGAACUCGGUCAUGGAGAAGCUAAAGUGCUGUGGAGUGAAAAACUACACGGAUUUUUCUGGCUCCUCCUUUGAAAUGAUGACAGGUCACGCCUACCCCAGGAGUUGCUGUAAAUCCAUCCAGACCGUGGCCUGUGAUGGGCACAAUGUGUCCACAGACAUCAUCCACCAGGAGGGCUGUUUGCCCAAGCUCCUGGAAAUAACCAAGACUCAGAGUUUCAACCUAAGCGGGGGCUCACUGGGGGCGGCAGUGAUCCAGGCCUGAAGAGGUGAGGACAGCAAGAGCCAAGGAGGAGGGGUCAUCUGCUCACAGCUCUGGUCAUGGAGGGCUCAGGAUGGGCAGAAGAGUGGGAGCAACUGAUGGAGAAAUACCCCAACCUUUCCUCCAGCCCGCCCAUCGCCUGCUGGUGCUUCCUAUUGGCCAAACCUAACAGGAACUGCCAGGAAUUCUCGCCACCUUGCUGCUGUUCACCAAGCUGGGCUGACAGACCUGGGGAGGACAGGACACCUGGACCCACCUGGCUGCUGGAGAAGUGGUCUCAUUUUUACUUUUCUGUGGCACUCACCUGCUUCUUGGAGGGAGAUUCAUAAUGCUUUUAUUAUCAGGGGAACCCCUGUCAUCCUGACUCCUUCUCCUUCGUUUUGUUUUCCACACCAGCUGGCAACGAUUUCAGUUCUGAACGGGAUGACCCAGCCUUCCUUCUCAUGCAGCGUUUUUGUUUUAUAGAUUGUUUUGUGAAAAAAAAUCUUCCAGGUUCACAAAAGCCAAGAGAAUUCAUCCAAAGAAACCCCCACAUACUCGUCACCCAGAUUCAACAAUCACCAAGAGUUUGACAUAUUUGUUUCAUUCUCCCUUUUGCCCCUUGAGGAAGUAUUUUCAAACAAGUCACAAUGUCAUUUCCCCCCCUCAUCGUUCGGCACAUAUCUCUAAAAAUGUAUAUAUUUGGAUCUUUAUUUAUUUGCAUAUUAUGUUUGCAAGCAUAAUGCCAUGCUCACAUUUGACGGAAUGUUUACGUCCCCCUCGAAAUUCGGACAUUGAAAGCUAACCCCCAAGGGAAUGGGGUGAGGAGACGGGGCCUUUGGGAGGUGAGGAGGUCAUGAGGGUGGAGCCCUGAUGAGUAGGAUUAGUGCCCUUAGGAGAGACCCCAGAGAGCUCCCUUGC
Molecule: RNA transcript, 1738 nt
Organism: Equus caballus (horse)
Lineage: Eukaryota; Metazoa; Chordata; Mammalia; Perissodactyla; Equidae
Gene: TSPAN16
Gene name: tetraspanin 16
Source: RefSeq, a predicted model, not a curated record